CCUUCUCCUCUCCUCUCAGAUUCCAGCUGAACAAGGUCAGACUUAUGCAUCAGAAGUUAAUGCCAUAUUUGGAGAGACUAGUGCCCUCACUGCUAGGAAUGUUGAGGAAAUGUUCAUUGAAAUAAAUACCCUGUUCCCAGUCCUCAUGGGGUGGAGUAGGCAGACUGGUGAGAGUUGGGCCAGUCAAAAUGUUUUAAACCUGACCUCCAGUUCUCAAGACUGGACUGCCUGCUCCUGUCCCAUCAGUGUUACAUCUAGCCAGCAUUGAUGAAUGUGUGCAUGAUGAGGAACUGGUCUAAGACUGUACCAGUUGGACUGGGAAUGAAUAUUGGGCUCCUUGACUCGAGAUCAGUUCCCUCUCAUAAGUGAUGAUUUGGUUAAUUCUCAUUAUUUAUUAUUAUGAUGUAUUGACAUGUUAUGUGCAGUUGCUGUGAUCGGUAAAAGACACAAUCUAUUGUGCAAUGACUUGACACCUUCCUCUCUCCCAGCAAUCACACCUGAUUGUGACUCCACACCCUCAUUAAUAAUUGAUGACUAUCCUACCAUAUUACCGGAAUUGUGCAGACAGUUUUCAGCUCCAGUAAUAAAGAGGGAGUGUCUGGUAGUAAGAGACUAUUACUGGUGGCCUUCAAUCAGUGAGACGUCUCUUUGAGUCUCUCAGGUACUCAUUAGUAUUUCAUUAAGAGGAACUCACAAACUCAGUUCUCACAAUCUACUGACAUUCAUAAUACAAUCAGCAACCUUUCAAACUAAUUAUCGCUCAUUAAAAUAGACUUAUGAGUUAGCAAUGGUAGAAGAAGGUGAGUUUGAUGAGAGAGUGUCCCUUAACAGUUCAGAGACUGAGCAUGAGGAGGAGCAGCUGCUGGGAAGAUCAGAUGAAAAGAAUGAGAGGUUGGAGCCAAUUGGUGUCAUUUAUCAAUCUCCCCAGUAUUUACAGUAUGGUACUCCGUUAAGUGGAAAAGAAUAUUUAUCAACAAGAGAAAACAAGUUGACUCCAGUAUCAGAUGCUAAUCCAUCAGUGAUACAGUUAUAAUUAUUAUUACAAGAAUUACAACCAGAACCAACUGAUAUCAUCUAUAACACGUGCAGAGUAUCAUAAGUUGUGUUGAUCUAAUGAGUUCUUCAUUUUUAUUAUCUUUUAAAUCAAGUUUAUUUGAAUCUCCUGAUAAUUUUGCUCUUGUUCGUCUCCAGCUCACUCAAUCAUUAUAUUAUAAGUUAUUAACGUUAAUUAUCAUUGAUGAGGAGAAGAAGCAAAAGCUUUCAACCAAAAAGUAGAUGUCAAUACAGAAAUAUCAACUUGAGGUUGUUUUCUUAAAGAAGCAUGGUUUGCUAAAGUUGCAUAGCAACUUUAUGCAUCCUGUAGAGUAACUUCUUUAUCAUUGGAGCACAGAAAGUUGGAGUUUUCCACUAUAAAGAGGAAUUUUAUAAUCUGUCAUAAGCUAAUGUUGGAACACGGUUAUUUUCAUAAGUCGCUUUUUGCACUGUCAGCAGAAAUGGUCUUAUUUUCGUACAGUUCACACAGCAGAGUGUUUCCAUGGAUAUUAUCAGUUAUUGAUUUCAUUGUUAUCAUUUUUUAAAAGUUAUUGAGAUUAUCAUUAAAGUGGAGCCGUCAUUCCCUCAUGCUAUAGUGAAGCAUUUGAGCGAAAUUGAGGAAAUGGUCCUAUCAUGAUCAUCUUUAGCCCAGCAGUCCUGUUCUCCAUUAUUUGAUGCCAUUCAUUCCAUUGGGUCUGUACCUAGUUACAGUGAUGUCAUGUUGCCUAACAACCCGAUAAUAAUGACCACACUCACCUUGAUUUUCUCACCUUAAAAGGGAUUCAAGUCCUGUUGUGUCUCCUCUACCUUCAGUGAGGGAGCGUUAUUCUUCUCCUAGUUCUGUUACUUCACAUCGUCAGCUCUUCACUGCUAGAAAGAAUGGCUCAGGCUCUCCUCUAAAGUCAUCAGUUAGUGCCGGGUUAAGUAAACCACACCCCCUAAACCACCUCAAGGAGUCGUACAGGGUAAUCGUAAAGGCCCUGUUAAAAGAUAGAAUUUAGAGAAUGAGGAAGACUAUGGAAACUAUCAGCCAUCAAGGGAAGCACUACCAAAAACUGCUUUCCAGUAUGGAGUUAAAAUGAAUGAUGGUCGUAAGACUCGUAGACAAGGUGUCAAGAAUGAGAAAGCUAAACUGGACAGAGAAUGGCAGCAGAUCAGUGAGCUCUAAGUUACCACCAGAUUGUUUAACUAGUUUACCAGCUGGUGCCUCUCUCUUAA
Long non-coding RNA from Amphimedon queenslandica, 2250 nucleotides. RefSeq lists it as uncharacterized. The transcript is spliced from 19 exons. Lineage: Eukaryota; Metazoa; Porifera; Demospongiae; Haplosclerida; Niphatidae. The record is from RefSeq and is a predicted model, not a curated record.